ACCGUUUGCUUACAAACCGUUGGAGCACCCCUGGUAGGUGUGACAGCGUGCCUUUUGAAGAAUGAGCCUGCGAGUUAGCGAUAUGUGGCGAGGUUAACCCGUGUGGGGUAGCCGUAGCGAAAGCGAGUCUGAAUAGGGCGAUUCAGUCGCAUGUCCUAGACCCGAAGCGAAGUGAUCUAUCCAUGGCCAGGUUGAAGCGACGGUAAGACGUCGUGGAGGACCGAACCCACUUAGGUUGAAAACUGAGGGGAUGAGCUGUGGAUAGGGGUGAAAGGCCAAUCAAACUUCGUGAUAGCUGGUUCUCUCCGAAAUGCAUUUAGGUGCAGCGUUGCGUGUUUCUUGCCGGAGGUAGAGCUACUGGAUGGCCGAUGGGCCCUACAAGGUUACUGACGUCAGCCAAACUCCGAAUGCCGGUAAGUGAGAGCGCAGCAGUGAGACUGUGGGGGAUAAGCUUCAUAGUCGAGAGGGAAACAACCCAGACCACCAACUAAGGUCCCAAAGCGCGUGCUAAGUGGGAAAGGAUGUGGAGUUGCUCUGACAACCAGGAG
This 548-nucleotide ribosomal RNA is filed under the name Listeria monocytogenes. Its description in RNAcentral is "partial 23S ribosomal RNA". It matches the Rfam family "Bacterial large subunit ribosomal RNA", at positions 555 to 1099 of the family's 2925-position model. Lineage: Bacteria; Bacillati; Bacillota; Bacilli; Caryophanales; Listeriaceae. The record is from RNAcentral.